GCUUGCUACCUGACCUAGCGGCGGACGGGUGAGUAAUGCUUAGGAAUCUGCCUAUUAGUGGGGGACAACAUUCCGAAAGGAAUGCUAAUACCGCAUACGCCCUACGGGGGAAAGCAGGGGAUCUUCGGACCUUGCGCUAAUAGAUGAGCCUAAGUCAGAUUAGCUAGUUGGUGGGGUAAAGGCCUACCAAGGCGACGAUCUGUAGCGGGUCUGAGAGGAUGAUCCGCCACACUGGGACUGAGACACGGCCCAGACUCCUACGGGAGGCAGCAGUGGGGAAUAUUGGACAAUGGGCGAAAGCCUGAUCCAGCCAUGCCGCGUGUGUGAAGAAGGCCUUUUGGUUGUAAAGCACUUUAAGCGAGGAGGAGGCUACUUGGAUUAAUACUCUAGGAUAGUGGACGUUACUCGCAGAAUAAGCACCGGCUAACUCUGUGCCAGCAGCCGCGGUAAUACAGAGGGUGCGAGCGUUAAUCGGAUUUACUGGGCGUAAAGCGUGCGUAGGCGGCUUCUUAAGUCGGAUGUGAAAUCCCUGAGCUUAACUUAGGAAUUGCAUUCGAUACUGGGAAGCUAGAGUAUGGGAGAGGAUGGUAGAAUUCCAGGUGUAGCGGUGAAAUGCGUAGAGAUCUGGAGGAAUACCGAUGGCGAAGGCAGCCAUCUGGCCUAAUACUGACGCUGAGGUACGAAAGCAUGGGGAGCAAACAGGAUUAGAUACCCUGGUAGUCCAUGCCGUAAACGAUGUCUACUAGCCGUUGGGGCCUUUGAGGCUUUAGUGGCGCAGCUAACGCGAUAAGUAGACCGCCUGGGGAGUACGGUCGCAAGACUAAAACUCAAAUGAAUUGACGGGGGCCCGCACAAGCGGUGGAGCAUGUGGUUUAAUUCGAUGCAACGCGAAGAACCUUACCUGGUCUUGACAUAGUAAGAACUUUCCAGAGAUGGAUUGGUGCCUUCGGGAACUUACAUACAGGUGCUGCAUGGCUGUCGUCAGCUCGUGUCGUGAGAUGUUGGGUUAAGUCCCGCAACGAGCGCAACCCUUUUCCUUAUUUGCCAGCGAGUAAUGUCGGGAACUUUAAGGAUACUGCCAGUGACAAACUGGAGGAAGGCGGGGACGACGUCAAGUCAUCAUGGCCCUUACGACCAGGGCUACACACGUGCUACAAUGGUCGGUACAAAGGGUUGCUACCUAGCGAUAGGAUGCUAAUCUCAAAAAGCCGAUCGUAGUCCGGAUUGGAGUCUGCAACUCGACUCCAUGAAGUCG
RNAcentral lists this ribosomal RNA (1255 nucleotides) under uncultured Acinetobacter sp. RNAcentral describes it as "bacterial SSU rRNA". It matches the Rfam family "Bacterial small subunit ribosomal RNA", at positions 78 to 1328 of the family's 1533-position model. The record is from RNAcentral. Lineage: Bacteria; Pseudomonadati; Pseudomonadota; Gammaproteobacteria; Moraxellales; Moraxellaceae.